AGUGAACGCUGGCGAUAGGCCUAACACAUGCAAGUCGAACGGCAGCACAGUAAGAGCUUGCUCUUACGGGUGGCGAGUGGCGGACGGGUGAGGAAUACAUCGGAAUCUACUUUUUCGUGGGGGAUAACGUAGGGAAACUUACGCUAAUACCGCAUACGACCUACGGGUGAAAGCAGGGGAUCUUCGGACCUUGCGCGAUUGAAUGAGCCGAUGUCGGAUUAGCUAGUUGGCGGGGUAAAGGCCCACCAAGGCGACGAUCCGAAGCUGGUCUGAGAGGAUGAUCAGCCACACUGGAACUGAGACACGGUCCAGACUCCUACGGGAGGCAGCAGUGGGGAAUAUUGGACAAUGGGCGCAAGCCUGAUCCAGCCAUACCGCGUGGGUGAAGAAGGCCUUCGGGUUGUAAAGCCCUUUUGUUGGGAAAGAAAAGCAGCAGGUUAAUACCCCGCUGUUCUGACGGUACCCAAAGAAUAAGCACCGGCUAACUUCGUG
Molecule: ribosomal RNA, 492 nt
Filed under: uncultured bacterium
Lineage: Bacteria
Description: partial 16S ribosomal RNA
Rfam family: Bacterial small subunit ribosomal RNA
Source: RNAcentral